This 117-nucleotide non-coding RNA is filed under the name Pongo abelii (Sumatran orangutan). Lineage: Eukaryota; Metazoa; Chordata; Mammalia; Primates; Hominidae. The record is from Rfam by way of RNAcentral.
GCUGGGCGUGGUGGUUCACGCCUGUAAUCCCAGCACUUUGGGAGGCUGAGGUGGGCGGAUCACCUGAGGUCAGGAGUUUGAGACCAGCCUGGCCAACAUGGUGAAACCCUGCCUCUA